Molecule: ribosomal RNA, 351 nt
Filed under: uncultured bacterium
Lineage: Bacteria
Description: bacterial SSU rRNA
Rfam family: Bacterial small subunit ribosomal RNA
Source: RNAcentral
AGAGUUUGAUCCUGGCUCAGGAUAAACGCUAGCGGCAGGCCUAACACAUGCAAGUCGAGGGGCAGCGGAAGAAGUAGCUUGCUACUUCUGCCGGCGACCGGCGCACGGGUGCGUAACGCGUAUGCAACCUACCUUUAACAGGGGGAUAAUCCGAAGAAAUUUGGUCUAAUACCCCAUAAUAUUUCAGAAGGCAUCUUUUGAGGUUGAAAACUCCGGUGGUUAAAGAUGGGCAUGCGUUGUAUUAGCUAGAUGGUGAGGUAACGGCUCACCAUUGCGAUGAUACGAUAGGGGGACUGAGAGGUUUUCCCCCCANACUGGUACUGAGACACGGACCAGACUCCUACGGGAGCA